Molecule: long non-coding RNA, 151 nt
Organism: Aethalodelphis obliquidens (Pacific white-sided dolphin)
Lineage: Eukaryota; Metazoa; Chordata; Mammalia; Artiodactyla; Delphinidae
Exons: 4
Source: RefSeq, a predicted model, not a curated record
AGACUACAGUAUAGUGUAAACAUAAAUUUUACAUGCACUGGGAAACAAAAUAAUCUGUGUGACCCACUUUAUUGCAAUGUUCACUUUAUUAUGGUAGUCUGGAACCGAACCCACAAUAUCUCCGAGAUAUGCCUGGACCACACAGGUUUUC